RNAcentral lists this ribosomal RNA (427 nucleotides) under uncultured bacterium. RNAcentral describes it as "partial 16S ribosomal RNA". It matches the Rfam family "Bacterial small subunit ribosomal RNA", at positions 355 to 774 of the family's 1533-position model. The record is from RNAcentral.
UGGGGAAUAUUGCACAAUGGGCGCAAGCCUGAUGCAGCCAUGCCGCGUGUAUGAAGAAGGCCUUCGGGUUGUAAAGUACUUUCAGCGGGGAGGAAGGCGAUAAGGUUAAUAACCUUGUCGAUUGACGUUACCCGCAGAAGAAGCACCGGCUAACUCCGUGCCAGCAGCCGCGGUAAUACGGAGGGUGCAAGCGUUAAUCGGAAUUACUGGGCGUAAAGCGCACGCAGGCGGUGUGUCAAGUCGGAUGUGAAAUCCCCGGGCUCAACCUGGGAACUGCAUUCGAAACUGGCAGGCUAGAGUCUUGUAGAAGGGGGUAGAAUUCCAGGUGUAGCGGUGAAAUGCGUAGAGAUCUGGAGGAAUACCGGUGGCGAAGGCGGCCCCCUGGACAAAGACUGACGCUCAGGUGCGAAAGCGUGGGGAGCAAACA